This 238-nucleotide ribosomal RNA is filed under the name uncultured bacterium. RNAcentral's name for it is "partial 16S ribosomal RNA". It matches the Rfam family "Bacterial small subunit ribosomal RNA", at positions 102 to 334 of the family's 1533-position model. The record is from RNAcentral.
CCGGCGACGGGUGAGUAACACGUAUCCAACCUGCCGUCUACUCUUGGACAGCCUUCUGAAAGGAAGAUUAAUACAAGAUGGCAUCAUGAGUCCGCAUGUUCACAUGAUUAAAGGUAUUCCGGUAGACGAUGGGGAUGCGUUCCAUUAGAUAGUAGGCGGGGUAACGGCCCACCUAGUCUUCGAUGGAUAGGGGUUCUGAGAGGAAGGUCCCCCACAUUGGAACUGAGACACGGUCCAA